AGUGAACGCUGGCGGUAGGCCUAACACAUGCAAGUCGAACGGCAGCACAGUAAGAGCUUGCUCUUACGGGUGGCGAGUGGCGGACGGGUGAGGAAUACAUCGGAAUCUACUUUUUCGUGGGGGAUAACGUAGGGAAACUUACGCUAAUACCGCAUACUACCUACGGGUGAAAGCAGGGGAUCUUCGGACCUUUCGCGAUUGAAUGAGCCGAUGUCGGAUUAGCUAGUUGGCGGGGUAAAGGCCCACCAAGGCGACGAUCCGUGGCUGGUCUGAGAGGAUGAUCAGCCACACUGGAACUGAGACACGGUCCAGACUCCUACGGGAGGCAGCAGUGGGGAAUAUUGGACAAUGGGCGCAAGCCUGAUCCAGCCAUACCGCGUGGGUGAAGAAGGCCUUCGGGUUGUAAAGCCCUUUUGUUGGGAAAGAAAAGCAGCAGGUUAAUACCCCGCUGUUCUGACGGUACCCAAAGAAUAAGCACCGGCUAACUUCGUG
This 492-nucleotide ribosomal RNA is filed under the name uncultured bacterium. Its description in RNAcentral is "partial 16S ribosomal RNA". It matches the Rfam family "Bacterial small subunit ribosomal RNA", at positions 29 to 507 of the family's 1533-position model. The record is from RNAcentral.